This 387-nucleotide ribosomal RNA is filed under the name uncultured Prorocentrum. Its description in RNAcentral is "partial small subunit ribosomal RNA". It matches the Rfam family "Eukaryotic small subunit ribosomal RNA", at positions 30 to 432 of the family's 1831-position model. The record is from RNAcentral. Lineage: Eukaryota; Dinophyceae; Prorocentrales; Prorocentraceae.
GCUUGUCUCAAAGAUUAAGCCAUGCAUGUCUAAGUAUAAGCCUUUGUACGGCGAAACUGCGAAUGGCUCAUUAAAACAGUUAUAGUUUAUUCGAUAAUCAAUCACUACAUGGAUAACUGUAGUAAUUCUAGAGCUAAUACAUGCGUCAGAACCCGACUUUACGGAAGGGUCGUGUAUAUUAGAUACAAAACCAACAUCUCGUUGGUGAUUCAUAAUAUCCAAGCGAAUCGUGGGGUAACCUGCGAUAGAUCGUUCAAGUUUCUGACCUAUCAGCUUUCGACGGUAGGGUAUUGGCCUACCGUGGCUAUGACGGGUAACGGAGAAUUAGGGUUCGAUUCCGGAGAGGGAGCCUGAGAAACGGCUACCACAUCUAAGGAAGGCAGCAGG